This 468-nucleotide ribosomal RNA is filed under the name uncultured bacterium. Its description in RNAcentral is "partial 16S ribosomal RNA". It matches the Rfam family "Bacterial small subunit ribosomal RNA", at positions 28 to 507 of the family's 1533-position model. The record is from RNAcentral.
GACGAACGCUGGCGGCGUGCUUAACACAUGCAAGUCGAACGGAAAGGCCCUGCUUUUGUGGGGUGCUCGAGUGGCGAACGGGUGAGUAACACGUGAGUAACCUGCCCUUGACUUUGGGAUAACUUCAGGAAACUGGGGCUAAUACCGGAUAGGAGCUCCUGCUGCAUGGUGGGGGUUGGAAAGUUUCGGCGGUUGGGGAUGGACUCGCGGCUUAUCAGCUUGUUGGUGGGGUAGUGGCUUACCAAGGCUUUGACGGGUAGCCGGCCUGAGAGGGUGACCGGCCACAUUGGGACUGAGAGACGGCCCAGACUCCUACGGGCGGCAGCAGUGGGGAAUAUUGCACAAUGGGCGGGAGCCUGAUGCAGCAACGCCGCGUGCGGGAUGACGGCCUUCGGGUUAUAAACCGCUUUCGCCUGUGACGAAGCGUGAGUGACGGUAAUGAGUAAAGAAGCACCGGCUAACUACGUG